AUACAUGCAAGUAGAANNCGCUGAAGAGAGGAGCUUGCUCUUCUUGGAUGAGUUGCGAACGGGUGAGUAACGCGUAGGUAACCUGCCUUAUAGCGGGGGAUAACUAUUGGAAACGAUAGCUAAUACCGCAUAACAAUGGGUGACUCAUGUCAUUUAUUUGAAAGGGGCAAAUGCUCCACUACAAGAUGGACCUGCGUUGUAUUAGCUAGUAGGUGAGGUAACGGCUCACCUAGGCGACGAUACAUAGCCGACCUGAGAGGGUGAUCGGCCACACUGGGACUGAGACACGGCCCAGACUCCUACGGGAGGCAGCAGUAGGGAAUCUUCGGCAAUGGGGGCAACCCUGACCGAGCAACGCCGCGUGAGUGAAGAAGGUUUUCGGAUCGUAAAGCUCUGUUGUAAGUCAAGAACGAGUGUGAGAGUGGAAAGUUCACACUGUGACGGUAGCUUACCAGAAAGGGACGGCUAACUACGUGCCAGCAGCCGCGGUAAUACGUAGGUCCCGAGCGUUGUCCGGAUUUAUUGGGCGUAAAGCGAGCGCAGGCGGUUUGAUAAGUCUGAAGUUAAAGGCUGUGGCUCAACCAUAGUUCGCUUUGGAAACUGUCAAAC
This 609-nucleotide ribosomal RNA is filed under the name uncultured Bacilli bacterium. RNAcentral describes it as "bacterial SSU rRNA". It matches the Rfam family "Bacterial small subunit ribosomal RNA", at positions 51 to 641 of the family's 1533-position model. Lineage: Bacteria; Bacillati; Bacillota; Bacilli. The record is from RNAcentral.